RNAcentral lists this ribosomal RNA (253 nucleotides) under uncultured bacterium. Its description in RNAcentral is "partial 16S ribosomal RNA". It matches the Rfam family "Bacterial small subunit ribosomal RNA", at positions 524 to 776 of the family's 1533-position model. The record is from RNAcentral.
UACGUAGGGGGCAAGCGUUGUCCGGAUUUAUUGGACGUAAAGAGCGUGUAGGCGGCUUUACAGGUCCGUUGUGAAAACUCGAGGCUCAACCUCGAGACGCCGGUGGAAACCGUAAGGCUAGAGUCCGGAAGAGGAGAGUGGAAUUCCUGGUGUAGCGGUGAAAUGCGCAGAUAUCAGGAGGAACACCCGUGGCGAAAGCGGCUCUCUGGGACGGUACUGACGCUGAGGAGCGAAAGCCAGGGGAGCAAACGGG